GGCGCUUCAUACCCACCUAGAGGAGCCUGUUCUAGAACCGAUACUACCCGUUUAACCUCACCUUCUCUUGUUCCUACCGCCUAUAUACCGCCGUCGUCAGCCCACCCUGUGAAGGCCCAGUAGUGAGCACAACUGGUACAACCCAAAACGUCAGGCCGAGGUGUAGCGUAUGAGAAGGGAAGAAAUGGGCUACAAUUGCUGAAACAGCUAAUACGAAUUGUACCGCUGAAAGUGCGGACAUGAAGGAGGAUUUAGAAGUAAGGGGUAAGCAGAGUGUCCCCCUGAAAUGGCUCUGAAGCGAGCACAUACCGCCCGUCACUCUCCCCAAGUUAAAACAUCUAAAUAGUAACUAAUCCAUAUUAACCUGCAAAGGGGAGACAAGUCGUAACAUGGUAAGUGUACCGGAAGGUGCACUUGGAAGAAAUAUAU
Molecule: ribosomal RNA, 429 nt
Filed under: Ostorhinchus cookii (Cook's cardinalfish)
Lineage: Eukaryota; Metazoa; Chordata; Actinopteri; Kurtiformes; Apogonidae
Description: partial 12S rRNA
Rfam family: Bacterial small subunit ribosomal RNA
Source: RNAcentral